AACUCCGUGGCUCAAUGGUUAAAGCGUUUAACUUCUGUUCAACGGGUAGUGGAUUCGAUCCUCCGGUGUUG
Molecule: transfer RNA, 71 nt
Filed under: Schistocephalus solidus
Lineage: Eukaryota; Metazoa; Platyhelminthes; Cestoda; Diphyllobothriidea; Diphyllobothriidae
Rfam family: tRNA
About the family: Transfer RNA (tRNA) molecules are approximately 80 nucleotides in length. Their secondary structure includes four short double-helical elements and three loops (D, anti-codon, and T loops).
Source: Rfam by way of RNAcentral